GCGGACGGGUGAGUAAUGCCUAGGAAUCUGCCUGGUAGUGGGGGAUAACGUCCGGAAACGGACGCUAAUACCGCAUACGUCCUACGGGAGAAAGCAGGGGACCUUCGGGCCUUGCGCUAUCAGAUGAGCCUAGGUCGGAUUAGCUAGUUGGUGAGGUAAUGGCUCACCAAGGCGACGAUCCGUAACUGGUCUGAGAGGAUGAUCAGUCACACUGGAACUGAGACACGGUCCAGACUCCUACGGGAGGCAGCAGUGGGGAAUAUUGGACAAUGGGCGAAAGCCUGAUCCAGCCAUGCCGCGUGUGUGAAGAAGGUCUUCGGAUUGUAAAGCACUUUAAGUUGGGAGGAAGGGCAGUUGCCUAAUACGUAACUGUUUUGACGUUACCGACAGAAUAAGCACCGGCUAACUCUGUGCCAGCAGCCGCGGUAAUACAGAGGGUGCAAGCGUUAAUCGGAAUUACUGGGCGUAAAGCGCGCGUAGGUGGUUUGUUAAGUUGGAUGUGAAAUCCCCGGGCUCAACCUGGGAACUGCAUUCAAAACUGACUGACUAGAGUAUGGUAGAGGGUGGUGGAAUUUCCUGUGUAGCGGUGAAAUGCGUAGAUAUAGGAAGGAACACCAGUGGCGAAGGCG
RNAcentral lists this ribosomal RNA (629 nucleotides) under Pseudomonas sp. EECC-305. RNAcentral's name for it is "bacterial SSU rRNA". It matches the Rfam family "Bacterial small subunit ribosomal RNA", at positions 98 to 723 of the family's 1533-position model. The record is from RNAcentral. Lineage: Bacteria; Pseudomonadati; Pseudomonadota; Gammaproteobacteria; Pseudomonadales; Pseudomonadaceae.